This 464-nucleotide ribosomal RNA is filed under the name uncultured bacterium. Its description in RNAcentral is "bacterial SSU rRNA". It matches the Rfam family "Bacterial small subunit ribosomal RNA", at positions 335 to 795 of the family's 1533-position model. The record is from RNAcentral.
ACUCCUACGGGAGGCAGCAGUGAGGAAUAUUGGUCAAUGGGCGCAAGCCUGAACCAGCCAUCCCGCGUGCAGGAAGACGGCCCUAUGGGUUGUAAACUGCUUUUCCAGGGAGAGAAACCUGCGCACGUGUUGCGCAAUUGACGGUACCCUGGGAAUAAGCAUCGGCUAACUCCGUGCCAGCAGCCGCGGUAAUACGGAGGAUGCAAGCGUUAUCCGGGUUCAUUGGGUUUAAAGGGUGCGUAGGCGGACUAUUAAGUCAGUGGUGAAAGCCUGCAGCUUAACUGCAGAACUGCCAUUGAUACUGAUAGUCUUGAGUUUGGUUAAGGUAGGCGGAAUGUGUAAUGUAGCGGUGAAAUGCUUAGAUAUUACACAGAACACCAAUUGCGUAGGCAGCUUACUGAGCCGACACUGACGCUGAGGCACGAAAGCGUGGGGAUCGAACAGGAUUAGAUACCCUGGUAGUC